GUCCUUGUAGCUUAUGAGGUAAGAGCGGCCCCAUGAUCGGGGCAGAGGCCGGUUCGAGCCCGGUCGAGGGCA
This 72-nucleotide transfer RNA is filed under the name Caudoviricetes sp. Its description in RNAcentral is "tRNA-Ser". The record is from RNAcentral. Lineage: Duplodnaviria; Heunggongvirae; Uroviricota; Caudoviricetes.